CAGUGGUGGAAGUCUCCAAAUGAGAUGAGUGCUAAGAAGUGAGGUGCUCAUGUUCAGCUGACAAAUUGUCAUUCCUAUCGAGUACUCGUGCUUGAGCUACAGAAGGCAUUUGACAUCGCUGGACUUUAAAGCUCUUUUUGAGGAGUAUCACAACCCAGCCUUGAGAGAUCUGCAGUUUUGGAGGGGGUGCCAAUUGUAGGUGUGCAGAAAUAAUGGCGUGACUCAAGACUGCUUUGACAGGCAAAUCCACCUGCAGUCUGGGCAUACCUAUUUAUUGCCUGGAAAAAAAAAGUUGAACCAUCUGUGUAAGAAAAAACAAUUCACACAAGUUCCUAACAUAAAUAAGCACACACAAAGUAUGGAAAACUGUUCUACAGAUUCAAGUUUGACAGCUUGUUCAGUGCAGCAUUACAUAGUAAAAUUGCUCUGUAAAGGGAUUAGAUGUUUUGUCUGUUUCACUUUUUAUUGGAUGCUCAAGGUGGUUAUUUAGUCUGCAUUUACUACGUGUUAUGUAUUGGUUAAAUGCAGGUACUGCCCAGUUAUGCCUGACCAACUCCUCUUUGCUGUGGCUGUUCCUCUUUCCUUCCUUCCAUACCACUCUCCCCACCUUGGAAGCCUCAGACAUCCAAGCCAGAGC
Molecule: long non-coding RNA, 637 nt
Organism: Phasianus colchicus (ring-necked pheasant)
Lineage: Eukaryota; Metazoa; Chordata; Aves; Galliformes; Phasianidae
Source: RefSeq, a predicted model, not a curated record